This is a long non-coding RNA of Thamnophis elegans (Western terrestrial garter snake), 361 nucleotides long. RefSeq lists it as uncharacterized. The record is from RefSeq and is a predicted model, not a curated record. NCBI's taxonomy places the organism in Eukaryota, Metazoa, Chordata, Lepidosauria, Squamata, Natricidae. The transcript is spliced from 3 exons.
CUAUGACGGUAGCAGUCCAGUCCAUGCAGCUGCAUUUUCUGGUCACCCAAGACUUCUCAACAGUAUCCUGCAAGCCGGAGGUGAUUUAAGAUUCCAUGAUCAAAAGGGUCGGACUCCUAAGGACUGGGCCCAGCAAGCUGGAAGUGAACAAAAUGCAAAGGUCAUGGACAUCAUACAACAGUACUAUGCUCAGAUGACAGCACAGGUGCAGCAUGGAGAUCAGUCACUGUAUUCAAAAAGUCUAGGAACACCUUCACGCAGUUUGCGUUCUUCUUUCACCUCACUUUUAUCUACCUCCUUCUGGUAUCUGGACUGUCCCCAAAUGUUUGCAAAUGUGAAGAAGCCAUUUGUUGGAUAUGGA